This 397-nucleotide ribosomal RNA is filed under the name uncultured Erysipelotrichaceae bacterium. RNAcentral's name for it is "bacterial SSU rRNA". It matches the Rfam family "Bacterial small subunit ribosomal RNA", at positions 355 to 743 of the family's 1533-position model. The record is from RNAcentral. Lineage: Bacteria; Bacillati; Bacillota; Erysipelotrichia; Erysipelotrichales; Erysipelotrichaceae.
UAGGGAAUUUUCGUCAAUGGGGGGAACCCUGAACGAGCAAUGCCGCGUGAGUGAAGACGGUCUUCGGAUUGUAAAGCUCUGUUGCGAGAGAAAAAGGACAGGAAGAGGGAAUGCUUCCGGUUUUGAUGGUAUCUCGCCAGAAAGUCACGGCUAACUACGUGCCAGCAGCCGCGGUAAUACGUAGGUGGCGAGCGUUAUCCGGAAUGAUUGGGCGUAAAGGGUACGUAGGCGGCCAGAUAAGUCUGGUGUGAAAGGCUGCAGCUCAACUGCAGCACUGCACUGGAAACUGUCCGGCUGGAGUGCAGAAGAGGGCGAUGGAACUCCAUGUGUAGCGGUAAAAUGCGUAGAUAUAUGGAAGAACACCGGUGGCGAAGGCGGUCGCCUGGUCUGCAACUGA